AAACCAGCACCUCAAGUGGUCAGGAGGAUUAUUGGGCCUAAAGCAUCCGUAGCCUGCUCUGUAAGUUUCCGGUUAAAUUCAUUAGCUCAACUAAUGGCUUGCCGGAAAUACUGCAGAGCUAGGAAGUGGGAGAGGUAGACGGUACUCGGUAGGAAGGGGUAAAAUCCUUUGAUCUAUUGAUGACCACCUGUGGCGAAGGCGGUCUACCAGAACACGUUCGACGGUGAGGGAUGAAAGCUGGGGGAGCAAACCGGAUUAGAAACCCGAGUAGUCC
RNAcentral lists this ribosomal RNA (274 nucleotides) under uncultured bacterium. Its description in RNAcentral is "partial 16S ribosomal RNA". It matches the Rfam family "Archaeal small subunit ribosomal RNA", at positions 473 to 747 of the family's 1478-position model. The record is from RNAcentral.